AUUCGAUGAUACGCGAGGAGCCUUACCCGGGCUGCAAAGUUAGUGACCGGUGGUGAAAGCCACUCUUCCAGCAAUGGACACGAAACUAGGUGCUGCAUGGUUGUCGUCAGCUCGUGCCGUGAGGUGUCGGGUUAAGUCCCAUAACGAGCGCAACCCCUGUCGUUAGUUGCUAGCAGGUAAUGCUGAGGACUCUAACGAGACUGCCGGUGUAAACCGAGAGGAAGGUGGGGNNNACNUNNAAUCAGCANNNNCCUUACGUCCGGGGCGACACACGUGUUACAAUGGAUGGUACAAAGGNNNGCAACAUAGCGAUAUGAAGCUAAUCUCRAAAAGCCAUUCUCAGUUCGGAUCGCAGGCUGAAACUCGCCUGCGUGAAGUUGGAUUCGCUAGUAAUCGCACAUCAGCCAUGGUGCGGUGAAUACGUUCCCGGGCCUUGUACACACCGCCCGUCAAGCCAUGGAAGUUGGGGGUGCCUGAAGUACGUGUGCGUA
Molecule: ribosomal RNA, 491 nt
Filed under: uncultured Eubacterium sp.
Lineage: Bacteria; Bacillati; Bacillota; Clostridia; Eubacteriales; Eubacteriaceae
Description: partial 16S ribosomal RNA
Rfam family: Bacterial small subunit ribosomal RNA
Source: RNAcentral